GAUGAACGCUAGCGGCAGGCUUAAUACAUGCAAGUCGAGGGGCAGCAUGGGUGUAGCAAUACAUCUGAUGGCGACCGGCAAACGGGUGCGGAACACGUACAGAACCUUCCUUCGAGCGGGGAAUAGCCCAGAGAAAUUUGGAUUAAUACCCCAUAGUAUAUUGAAGAGGCAUCUCUUUAAUAUUAAAGAUUUAUCACUUGAAGAUGGCUGUGCGGCUGAUUAGAUAGUUGGCGGGGGUAACGGCCCACCAAGUCUACGAUCAGUAACUGGUGUGAGAGCACGACCAGUCACACGGGCACUGAGACACGGGCCCGACUCCUACGGGAGGCAGCAGUAAGGAAUAUUGGGCAAUGGAGGCAACUCUGACCCAGCCAUGCCGCGUGGGAGGAUGAAGGCCCUCUGGGUUGUAAACUUCUUUUA
RNAcentral lists this ribosomal RNA (420 nucleotides) under uncultured bacterium. RNAcentral's name for it is "bacterial SSU rRNA". It matches the Rfam family "Bacterial small subunit ribosomal RNA", at positions 28 to 438 of the family's 1533-position model. The record is from RNAcentral.